Molecule: non-coding RNA, 302 nt
Organism: Saimiri boliviensis boliviensis (Bolivian squirrel monkey)
Lineage: Eukaryota; Metazoa; Chordata; Mammalia; Primates; Cebidae
Source: RefSeq, a predicted model, not a curated record
AGCGCGGUUGUAGUGUUCGCCGCUGCUCUCCGAGCUUCGCGAUGCCGCCCAAGGACGACAAAAAGAAGAAAGACGCCGGAAAGUCGGCCAAGAAAGACAAAGACCCAGUGAACAAAUCCGGGGGCAAGGCCAAAAUGAAGGACUUAUCAAACUGGUUUCAAAGCACAGAGCUCAAGUAAUUUACACCAGAAAUACCAAGGGUGGAGAUGCUCCAGCUGCUGGUGAAGAUGCAUGAAUAGGUCCAAACAACUGUACAUUUGGAAAAAUAAAACUUUAUUAAAUCAAAAAAAAAAAAAAAAAAA